AAGAAACAUAGGAAAUUGAAGUCAGAAAUUUUUCCCAUUGUGAUAUAAAACUUGAAAAUAAUAAUUUGCUAUUGGGACCAACUAAGUCAAUUGAAACCCUGGUGACACCAACUAGCUAAAGGUCUUGAUAUAUUUUUUUCAUCUAUGACUGUUGUAACCAUAUUGAGUCAGAUUUAAUUAUAACAUUAGGGUGAGGAUAUUGAAUCUGUGAUUGCUAAUCUAUUUCAAGAUGCCAAUCUUCAUAUUAAAAGCACACAACAGUGGAUUCUCUUGUUAAAGUAGUUAAGUUUGACAGUGUGCCAGCCAUUUAUCAUAUGUCUGUUAUGUGUAGAGAAUAUCUUCAUAAGGCAUUAUUAAAAUUACUAUUAGGUACACUAGCAAAUAUUCCAGAAAGAAAUUUCCAUAAGCUGUUCUGAUAAAUUGUAUAUGAUUAUAGAACAAACAUACAGUUUUUAAAUUGGUUUCAAUUAUUUAGACAAACUAAGAGGAAGAAAAAUGAAAAGUAUUUAGAUCAGGAACAUCAUCCAACCUGGGAAGAAGUAGAAGGGCUGCAGCUAUUACAGUAUUACCACUUUAGAAGAGAAUCAAAAAUGUUGAAUUUUUAUUGUUAGGACAUGUAGAAGCCAGAGAUCUUGAGAUGUUUAGAACAGUUAUCUGUGUUGAUUCUUUUACAUGGCCAGGUACUAACAGCCACACUAUAUCAUACUAUUUCAUAUACUAAUUAUGUCAUAUCAAUCAUAUCAUACCAUGUCAUAUCAUUGUAUCAUCACAUUACAUGCCUCAAUGUACCAGGAUUUAUUCAGUACAUCAUCUCAUGACUUAGAUUGAAUUCAAAGCAUACAAAAAUUAAAGGCUAUGCCUAAAUUGGCACUGAACAGAAAAACAUGUGGAAGACAUCUUUGGUCCACUAUAAAAGAUGUGUCACUAAAACCAAUGUUGGAAUUCCAUAACGAAGAUAUUGUAUGUGUCAAUGCUGACAAAGAAAAAUCAAAUAGAAAGAAGGAGGCAAGUACAUCUAUGCUCAAUUGAAAGAGGGCUCUGGAGAGAAGAAUGAUUUUGGAGUUAAAAAGAA
RNAcentral lists this long non-coding RNA (1072 nucleotides) under Homo sapiens (human). RNAcentral's name for it is "non-protein coding lnc-REG3G-7:1". The record is from RNAcentral. Lineage: Eukaryota; Metazoa; Chordata; Mammalia; Primates; Hominidae.